GCCAGCAGCCAUAUCACCCUGCAACUCUCAGCUGGCAGCCCCACUGAAGCUCAGCAGGUGUGAGCCUGGUCAGUACCUGGAUGGGAGACUCCUGGGAAAAACUAAGGUUGCUGCUGGAA
This 119-nucleotide ribosomal RNA is filed under the name Lepisosteus oculatus (spotted gar). Lineage: Eukaryota; Metazoa; Chordata; Actinopteri; Semionotiformes; Lepisosteidae. The record is from RNAcentral.